RNAcentral lists this ribosomal RNA (253 nucleotides) under uncultured bacterium. RNAcentral's name for it is "partial 16S ribosomal RNA". It matches the Rfam family "Bacterial small subunit ribosomal RNA", at positions 524 to 776 of the family's 1533-position model. The record is from RNAcentral.
CACGUAGGGUGCAAGCGUUGUCCGGAAUUAUUGGGCGUAAAGAGCUCGUAGGCGGCUUGUCGCGUCGACCGUGAAAACUUGGGGCUCAACCCCAAGCCUGCGGUCGAUACGGGCAGGCUCGAGUUCGGUAGGGGAGACUGGAAUUCCUGGUGUAGCGGUGAAAUGCGCAGAUAUCAGGAGGAACACCGAUGGCGAAGGCAGGUCUCUGGGCCGAUACUGACGCUGAGGAGCGAAAGCGUGGGGAGCGAACAGG